This 468-nucleotide ribosomal RNA is filed under the name uncultured bacterium. RNAcentral describes it as "partial 16S ribosomal RNA". It matches the Rfam family "Bacterial small subunit ribosomal RNA", at positions 28 to 507 of the family's 1533-position model. The record is from RNAcentral.
GACGAACGCUGGCGGCGUGCUUAACACAUGCAAGUCGAACGGAAAGGCCCUGCUUUUGUGGGGUGCUCGAGUGGCGAACGGGUGAGUAACACGUGAGUAACCUGCCCUUGACUUUGGGAUAACUUCAGGAAACUGGGGCUAAUACCGGAUAGGAGCUCCUGCUCCAUGGUGGGGGUUGGAAAGUUUCGGCGGUUGGGGAUGGACUCGCGGCUUAUCAGCUUGUUGGUGGGGUAGUGGCUUACCAAGGCUUUGACGGGUAGCCGGCCUGAGAGGGUGACCAGCCACAUUGGGACUGAGAUACGGCCCAGACUCCUACGGGAGGCAGCAGUGGGGAAUAUUGCACAGUGGGCGGAAGCCUGAGGCAGCAACGCCGCGUGCGGGAUGACGUCCUUCGGGUUGUAAACCGCUUUCGCCUGUGACGAAGCGUGAGUGACGGUAAUGGGUAAAGAAGCACCGGCUAACUACGUG